RNAcentral lists this ribosomal RNA (638 nucleotides) under Calliostoma zizyphinum. RNAcentral's name for it is "partial 12S ribosomal RNA". It matches the Rfam family "Bacterial small subunit ribosomal RNA", at positions 524 to 1384 of the family's 1533-position model. Lineage: Eukaryota; Metazoa; Mollusca; Gastropoda; Trochida; Calliostomatidae. The record is from RNAcentral.
GACAAACGGAUCAAGUUAAGAUUUGUUCAGUAAAAAAGGGGGUUAAAAAUAUAAAUAUAGGGAAAUCUGCUUUUUCUAUAAAGGUGAAAUUUGUAUAGGGAGGGUUAGUUUUUUGUUUCCUGUUUUUGAAUCCCCGAAAGUUUAGCGUAAGACCGGGAUUAGAUACCCCGUUAUUUAUUCUGUAAACUUUAAUUCGUUGUAAUUUACUUGGGUAUUACGGGCUGCAGGGCACUGUUGUGUCUAGCAAGUGGCUUAAAACUCAAAAAACUUGGCGGUGCCUUAAUUCUUUCCGGGGGAACCUGUCCUUUAAUCGAUGGUCCACGAUUUAGCUUACCUUAUUUUGAAUAUUAAUUUUAUAUGUUAAUACAGCUUGUAUACCGUCGUCGUCAGAUUACCUUUAAGAGAUUAGAAGUUGUCGGGAGGAAACUGCCCUAUAGGUUGCUUCAUGUUAUGGGGCAGCUUAUAGUUCUUAAUUCUAGAUGUCAGAUCAAGGUGCAGCUUAUGAUAGGGGAGAGAUGGGUUACAAUAGCAAUUUGCUAAGACGGAUUUCACUUUGUAAUAAGUGAGUAUGAAGGUGGACUCGGGAGUAAUAUAAUUAUAAGUAGAGAGUUUUUGUGAAAAUUGGUGCUAAGGUGCGU